UGGGGAAUAUUGCACAAUGGGCGCAAGCCUGAUGCAGCGACGUCGCGUGGAGGAUGAAGGUUUUCGGAUCGUAAACUCCUGUUAAGUGGGAAGAAAGAGUGGAUGUUAAUAGCAUUCAAAGAUGACGGUACCACUAGAGAAAGCACCGGCAAACUUCGUGCCAGCAGCCGCGGUAAUACGAAGGGUGCGAGCGUUAUUCGGAAUUACUGGGCGUAAAGGGCGCGUAGGCGGUUUCCUAAGCAGCUUGUUAAAGACCACUUAAGUCGGUGGGGAUGCAGGUUGAACUGGGAGACUAGAGGGUAGGAGAGAGAAGUGGAAUUCUUGGAGUAGCGGUAAAAUGCGUAGAUCUCAAGAGGAACACCGAUGGCGAAGGCAGCUUCUUGGCCUACUACUGACGCUG
RNAcentral lists this ribosomal RNA (400 nucleotides) under uncultured bacterium. Its description in RNAcentral is "bacterial SSU rRNA". It matches the Rfam family "Bacterial small subunit ribosomal RNA", at positions 355 to 748 of the family's 1533-position model. The record is from RNAcentral.